This 393-nucleotide ribosomal RNA is filed under the name uncultured bacterium. Its description in RNAcentral is "partial 16S ribosomal RNA". It matches the Rfam family "Bacterial small subunit ribosomal RNA", at positions 523 to 918 of the family's 1533-position model. The record is from RNAcentral.
AUACGGAAGGUCCGGGCGUUAUCCGGAUUUAUUGGGUUUAAAGGGAGCGCAGGCGGAGAUGCAAGCGUGACGUCAAAUUUCGGGGCUCAACCCCGUCUCGCGUCGCGAACUGCGUCCCUUGGUUGCGGGAAGGGGAGGCGGAACUCGUGGUGUAGCGGGGAAAUGCAUAGAUAUCACGAAGAACUCCGAUCGCGAAGGCAGCCUUCCGGCCCGUCAACGACGCUCAUGCUCGAAGGUGCGGGUAUCAAACAGGAUUAGAUACCCUGGUAGUCCGCACAGUAAACGAUGGACACCCGCGGUUUGGCCUGUAUGGCUGAGCCGCCAAGCGAAAGCGUUAAGUGUCCCACCUGGGGAGUACGCCGGCAACGGUGAAACUCAAAGGAAUUGACGGGG